AUUGGAUCAGACCUCAGUGACUCAUGUUCUCCAUCCUCAUACCGUUAAUGAGCAGAUACUCAGAGAAAGUGCAAGGAAGUGAAGAAGGAAUAAACAAGUGUUCUCAGGGGAAAAUUCUUCCCUGCUUUUGAUGAUCAGGAACUGGCUUAUUCCCUACAACAUAAAAAGGAUUACUGGCUUUGUGUUUAAACCAGUUAUUCUAAGAACGUGAACAGUCUUGAGAUCACUUGCUUAUCUUCCAACCCAAAACUGUACGAAAGGAACCUCCUCUCGGGGAACACAAAUACACACAGUGGGGCAACCCUAUCAAAACUAUGCAUCAACAACUCAAGAAGAACAAAUAACUUGGGUUACAGAAGAACUAAGAUUGCUGUUUCCUGUGCUUCAUUGAAGUAGAUGAAGUAUGACUUCCAAGAGAGCAGUCUUUCUGCCUACUCACCAUCAUCCAGAGGAGCUUCCUGGAUCCCUGCGCUUCCAUGAGAACGGAGGGGAGAUGCAGCUCCUACAGCCGCCAGGAGCCACCAGCUUUGAAGAAAGGGAUGAGAUGACCUCAUUAAGCAAUGCAAAAUUUACUCUUAAAAAUACAGACCAACAGAGCCGUAGAAACAACACAGUAUAUAUUUUUAAGUACCUUAGUCAAUUCAUUCAAAAACUGUACGUUGUCAGGAGGAGGGGAUGCAGUUUAAUAAUUUUAAUGGCCAACACUUAAUAAAAGAUUAAAGGUCUAAUACAUUAAAAAGGAAACUCUGCUGAUGGUAAUCACUUUUGCUGCUUUUAUACAUCAUUUUGUUCCAUGUUUGUGUAUGAAAUGAGGUUUGGGGAGGCGGGGGGAAUUUGAAGAUUUAGGGAGAUUACUGCUUUCAUGGGAGUGUUUUAUUGCACUUCGGCAGUUCUGGAUUUAAC
Molecule: long non-coding RNA, 903 nt
Organism: Gallus gallus (chicken)
Lineage: Eukaryota; Metazoa; Chordata; Aves; Galliformes; Phasianidae
Source: Ensembl